UCCUGGAGUUAGGCCUUCAACCAAAGAGCUGGGCCAUCCGUGGCAAUGCCUCCCAGGCUUGGGAGCUGGGAAAAGGCCCCAGGAGCUAGGGCAUCCUGAUUGUUCUUUCAAAGAAAUCCCUCUUGUUCUUAGUCAACAUGCUGGAUACCAGCUAAAAAAUGCAAAAUGAUCUUCAGGCAGGGAUGGCACAGGACCCUUGCUGAGCUGUGAAGCCUGGCUGUGAGGAUUCCUGCAUGGAAACAUCAACAUGUUGCCAGAUUGGUAUACGACUCAACACCACACUGACAUGCUGCUCCCAAACAGUGCCUUUGAAUCAAGACCCAGUCAUCGUAUUCGAAGAAAAAGGAAAUAUCCCUGACCAUGUUGGGACUUAACACUGCUUCACAGAGUCCAUGGAGUUCCUGGUGACUAAUGCCAUCCACAAGAUCUGAAGGUGUUGUGUAACCUAGACCUGGCCCUUCUCUCAGUGCAUCCCCCUCUCCAGAGUGACCAACUCAGAGAGGUCAUGUGCUUAAGGGUGAGAACCACUACAGGACAAAAAUGAGCUCCUUUUUUCCAGUCUCAGCCCAGGAGGGAUCUUCACAGAGAAAGCAAGCCCAGCCCAUCCCCACAGCUGGCUCCCUGGUGCCCAUUCUGAAAGGCUGGACCCAUCCUGACCUGUCCCUGCCCCAAGGACUGCCUGGUGAGGGAUGGCUUACCAACACUGUGACUCAGUCCUUCCAACAUGCCCAACAGGUCAAUUCUGGGAUAUUCCUUACAGGAAUUAAUGAGAGCACAUUGCCGGUAAUGUUGGCAUUAGUAGAUUACAUUUAAAUUUAAAAAUUCCUUUUAUGGGGUUUAAGAAUAGAGACAAGACACCCAUGCAAUAAAGAAAGGAGGAGACUUUGCCUGGUCUAAUGGAGAAGCUGGAGCUGCAUUGUUGGGUACAGUGGCCAGUGGCUACACCUGGCUUUUGAGCCCUUGCACAGUGGCAAGGACACAUUGAGAUGUGCCCUAGGUGCAAGAUACACACAGGAUUUCAAAGACUGAGUAUGAAAAAAGAAGAAAAAAUGUCUCAUUAAUAUUUUUAUAUUGGUUGCAUGUGGAAGUGAUAACAUUUUGGAUAUAAAGUUGACCUUUGAACAGUAUGGGUUUGAACUGCACAGGUCUGCUUAUAAGUGAAAUUUCUUCUGCCUCUGCCACCCCUGAGACAGCAAGACCAACCCUCCACUUCCUCCUCCUCCUCCUCCUCCUCAACCUGCUCAACGUGAAGAUGAUGAAGAUCAAGACCUUCAUGAUGAUCUACUUCCACUUAAUGAAUAGGAAGCUUUCACACCACAUUUUGUUUCCUGACAAGAGAAGGAGAAAUCGUUGGCCUCUGCGUGACAUGGAGGGUCCCCCCACCUGCAAGCUUUUGUGUUUGCUGGAUCUUGGACAGUACCCUGGCGAAAAGCAUUCGGCAAGAUUAUCCGGCUAGCACAGCCUUCAAGGAAUAAAUAUCUAACACCUUGUUCCCUUUUGCGGUUCAAAAGCCACUGUCACUGGGGUACAUAGGCAGUUUUAAAAAAGGCUACAAUUCAUAUGCAAACUAGAGGAGGAUUUCCAUGAUUUCAUAAUAAAAUGUUGAAACGCU
RNAcentral lists this long non-coding RNA (1612 nucleotides) under Homo sapiens (human). Its description in RNAcentral is "novel transcript". The record is from RNAcentral. Lineage: Eukaryota; Metazoa; Chordata; Mammalia; Primates; Hominidae.